GUAUGCGCUUUGAUUUCACCAAGAUGCUCAACCAGAAGUUCUCCCUCAAUCACAGCGUUUCGAUGGGGCCUACUGAGAUCCCUUCUCAGUCAAUGGAGACUAUUAAAACCCCUACCGCUAACUAUGAGUUUGGUGCAACCUUCAUUGAUCAUCCCAAGUAGAUGCUGUUGGGGAGAAUAUUGACUGAUGGAAGGCUCAAUGCAAGAGUCAAGUGCGACGUCUCUGAAAAUCUCACUCUUAAAGCCAAUGCUCAGCUUACGAAUGAGCCACACAUGUCUUAAGGGAUGGUCAACUUUGAUUACAAGGUCAAUUGCUUUAACCUUCCUAGAUCAUUUUCUCCCGUUUUUGACAUAUAUUGUAUUAGUGUGACUUAAUGGGAGUUUUAUAUACUAACCACAAGAACUGCCCUCUCAAGAUUUCCAUGGGGAACAAAAUCCAAACUUCACACUUCACUCAACACUCUCAUAACCUCAAAUCUUCCUGUUAAUCUGUAGCUUUUUGAAUUUGGUAUGCUUCUUCCACUUUAGCUACAUGUUUUCCAGCAAUCCUCACAUACUAUUGCUAAUAAUUUCAUUUACUUAUACUGCACAAUGUUCUACAAGAUGUUAUCAAUCUUUUGAGAAAUUGAUUAUUGAUUUUUUUUUGUAAUAUAGUUUCUGCAUUAUUAAAGCUAUGUUAACUUCUUUUACAUUUUUUUCUAUAUUACUUUUGCUAUCAGACAUUGGGACGUUUGGCUCAAAAUAGAGAGGCCGCAAGAAAAAGCCAUCUAAGGAAAAAGGUGCUAUUUUUGUUGGGACUUGUCUAUCUGCUAUUUUUGUUUGAUAAUUAUCUAUUUUAAAAUAUGCUCAUUUGUUCCAAAUUUCUUAUACCAUAAGAAUUAUUGUGGACAAGGCAUCCAUAGAAAACUCUUUAUUUUAAUUUUUGCAGGGCUGAAAAAUUUGAAAGUACUCAAUUUGGGAUUUAAUGACAUUACUGAUGCAUGUUUUAUUUUCUUAUUUGUGUUUAGGAUAGUUUCUCCUCCCCUGAUAGGCGUAAUUCUAGUGAAGAUGUAGUGUGCAUAAACAUGAAAAUGUUGAU
Molecule: long non-coding RNA, 1077 nt
Organism: Arachis duranensis
Lineage: Eukaryota; Viridiplantae; Streptophyta; Magnoliopsida; Fabales; Fabaceae
Exons: 4
Source: RefSeq, a predicted model, not a curated record